CAUGCUGGCCGGAUGAUCGCGUUGCCCGUGGAGUACAUCUCAUGGUCAGCGAGGAAAGUCCGGGCUCCUUGGACAAACUGCCAGGUAACACCUGGGCGCAGCUCCGGCUGUGACGGAAAGUGCCACAGAAAACAAACCGCCAUACCGGUAAUUGGUGUGGUAAGGGUGAAAUGGUGGGGUAAGAGCCCACCGCAUCAGCGGUAACGCUGAUGGCUCGGUAAACCCCAGUUGGAGCAAGGCCAAAUAGGCGGCGAGAGACAGUCCUUCUCGACCAAGACGUCGCGGGUUGGCUGCUAGAACGUGGUGGCGACAUCACGUCCAGAGGAAUGAUCAUCCGGAUCGCAAGAUCCGACAGAACCCGGCUUAUAGGCCAGCAUGCACC
Molecule: RNase P RNA, 382 nt
Filed under: Gemmatimonadaceae bacterium
Lineage: Bacteria; Pseudomonadati; Gemmatimonadota; Gemmatimonadia; Gemmatimonadales; Gemmatimonadaceae
Also listed under: 1 other name
Description: RNase P RNA component class A
Rfam family: Bacterial RNase P class A
About the family: Ribonuclease P (RNase P) is a ubiquitous endoribonuclease, found in archaea, bacteria and eukarya as well as chloroplasts and mitochondria.
Source: RNAcentral